RNAcentral lists this unclassified non-coding RNA (406 nucleotides) under Hevea brasiliensis (rubber tree). Lineage: Eukaryota; Viridiplantae; Streptophyta; Magnoliopsida; Malpighiales; Euphorbiaceae. The record is from RNAcentral.
AUUAUUAUUAUUGUUCAAUUUAUGCAGAGGAGUCUCUCUAGAAGUAUGAUUUCUGCCUUUAGCUUGUGGAUGAAUGGCUGUAAUUAGUCUAUGCAAGUGCUGGAUUCACAUAAAAAAAAGAGCUAUAUGAAUAAUUAAACUCAACUUGGUCUCAAUCCCAAUUUAGCUGAGGUCAAACAAACUCAAUUGAGUUAAUUUAUAUGGCAUCUCUGCCUCUCCAAUCCCACCACAAAUGAAAAAUUUUGACUGUAGUUGUGUGAACAUAAUCAGCUCCAGGCUUAAAUAAAGGGCAAUGGUUAGAUUAGGGGGGUAAUAGUUUUAGAGCGUAGGUGGAAACUAGAAUGGAAGCUGCUUAUCUCAGUGAUUGACUUAUAAAGUGUUUGGCUGUGUGUAGUUUUUCUUUGCG